GAUGAACGCUGGCGGCGUGCCUAAUACAUGCAAGUCGAGCGAACGGACGAGAAGCUUGCUUCUCUGAUGUUAGCGGCGGACGGGUGAGUAACACGUGGAUAACCUACCUAUAAGACUGGGAUAACUUCGGGAAACCGGAGCUAAUACCGGAUGAUAUUUUGAACCGCAUGGUUCAAAAGUGAAAGACGGUCUUGCUGUCACUUAUAGAUGGAUCCGCGCUGCAUUAGCUAGUUGGUAAGGUAACGGCUUACCAAGGCAACGAUGCAUAGCCGACCUGAGAGGGUGAUCGGCCACACUGGAACUGAGACACGGUCCAGACUCCUACGGGAGGCAGCAGUAGGGAAUCUUCCGCAAAGGGCGAAAGCCUGACGGAGCAACGCCGCGUGAGUGAUGAAGGUCUUCGGAUCGUAAACCCCUGUUAUUAGGGAAGAACAUAUGUGUAAGUAACUGUGCACAUCUUGACGGUACCUAAUCAGAAAGCCACGGCUAACUACGUG
Molecule: ribosomal RNA, 497 nt
Filed under: uncultured bacterium
Lineage: Bacteria
Description: partial 16S ribosomal RNA
Rfam family: Bacterial small subunit ribosomal RNA
Source: RNAcentral